RNAcentral lists this ribosomal RNA (275 nucleotides) under uncultured bacterium. RNAcentral's name for it is "partial 16S ribosomal RNA". It matches the Rfam family "Bacterial small subunit ribosomal RNA", at positions 399 to 691 of the family's 1533-position model. The record is from RNAcentral.
GCGUGAGUGAUGAAGGCCCUAGGGUUGUAAAGCUCUUUUACCCGGGAUGAUAAUGACAGUACCGGGAGAAUAAGCCCCGGCUAACUCCGUGCCAGCAGCCGCGGUAAUACGGAGGGGGCUAGCGUUGUUCGGAAUCACUGGGCGUAAAGCGCGCGUAGGCGGUCUUGUAAGUUAGAGGUGAAAGCCCGGAGCUCAACUCCGGAACUGCCUUUAAGACUGCAAGACUAGAAUCCGGGAGAGGUGAGCGGAAUUCCGAGUGUAGAGGUGAAAUUCGU